GAUGAACGCUGGCGGCGUGCCUAAUACAUGCAAGUCGAGCGAACGGACGAGAAGCUUGCUUCUCUGAUGUUAGCGGCGGACGGGUGAGUAACACGUGGAUAACCUACCUAUAAGACUGGGAUAACUUCGGGAAACCGGAGCUAAUACCGGAUAAUAUUUUGAACCGCAUGGUUCAAAAGUGAAAGACGGUCUUGCUGUCACUUGUAGAGGAUUCCGCGUUGCUUUAGUAAGUUGGUAAGGUAACGGCUAACCAAGGCAACGAUGCAUAGCCGACCUGAGAGGGUGAUCGGCCACACUGGAACUGAGACACGGUCCAGACUCCUAAGGGAGGCAGCAGUAGGGAAUCUUCCGCAAUGGGCGAAAGCCUGACGGAGCAAAGCCGCGUGAGUGAUGAAGGUCUUCGGAUCGUAAAACUCUGUUAUUAGGGAAGAACAUAUGUGUAAGUAACUGUGCACAUCUUGACGGUACCUAAUCAGAAAGCCACGGCUAACUACGUG
RNAcentral lists this ribosomal RNA (497 nucleotides) under uncultured bacterium. RNAcentral describes it as "partial 16S ribosomal RNA". It matches the Rfam family "Bacterial small subunit ribosomal RNA", at positions 28 to 507 of the family's 1533-position model. The record is from RNAcentral.